This 1732-nucleotide ribosomal RNA is filed under the name Cricetulus griseus (Chinese hamster). RNAcentral describes it as "SSU rRNA". It matches the Rfam family "Eukaryotic small subunit ribosomal RNA". The record is from RNAcentral. Lineage: Eukaryota; Metazoa; Chordata; Mammalia; Rodentia; Cricetidae.
ACUGGUUGAUCCUGCGUAGAUAUGGCUUGUCUCAAAGAUUAGCAUGCAUGUCUAAGUAGCACGGCCGGUCGUGGAAACUGCGAUGGCUCAUUAAAUCAGUUAUGGUUCUUUGGUCGCUGCUCUCUCUACUUGGAUCUGUGGUAUUCUAGAGCUAAUCAUGCGACGCGGCUUGACCCCUUCGCCGGGGGGGUGGUGCAUUUAUUGAUCAACCAACGGUCAGCUUCUUUCCGGGCUCCGGCCGGGGGGGGGGGCGCCGGCGGCUUUGGUGACUUCUAGUACUCGGUUCGAUUCGCCACGCCCGUGCGGCGACGCCCAUUCGACGUCUGCCCUAUCAAUUUUCGAUGUAGUCGAUGUGCUACAUGGUGACACGGGGUGACGGGGAAUCAGGUUCGAUUCGGCAGAGGGAGCUGCAGAAACGGCCUACACAUCGAAGGAGCAGCAGGCGCGCAAUUACACCAUCCCGCGGGGAGGUGUUGACGAAUACACUUACGGCCUUUCGAGGCCCUGUAUUGGAAUGGUCACUUUUAAAUCCUUAACGAGGAUUCAUUGGGGGCAAGUCUGGUGCGCAGCGCGGUAUUCAGCUCCCAAAGCGUUAUUUCAGUGGCUGCAGUAAAAGCUCGUAGUCUGGAUCUUGGGAGCGGGCGGGCGGCUCCGCGCGAGGGAGUCACACGCCGCCCCGCCCUUGCUUCGCGCCCUCAUGCCUCUUAGUGAGUGUCCGGGGGCCCGCAAGCGUAUUCUUUGAAAACUUCGACGUGUUCAAAGCAGGCCGUCCGCUUGGAUACGCACGCUCAGGACUGAAGAUGGCCGCGGUUCUUUUUGUUGGUUUUUCGGAACUGGGCAUGGUUAGAGGGGACGGCGGGGCAUUUCGGUAUUGCGCGCUAGGAGGGUGAAUUCUUGGCCGGCGCGACGGACAGCGCGAACGAUUUGCAGAAUGGUUUCUUAAUCAAAACGAAGUCGAGGUCGAAGACGAUCAGAUUACCGUCGUAGUUACCGCCAUACACUAUGCCGACUGGCGUGCGGCAGGCGUUUUCCAAUGCCCGCGGGCAGUUCCGGGAACAAGUCUUUGGGUUCGGGGGGGUUUGGUUGCCAGUGAUUAAAGGAAUUGACGGAAGGACCAGGAGUGGAGCCUGGAUUAAUUCUGAUCAACCCGGGCACUCACCGGCCGGACACGCAGGAAUUGACGAUUGCAUGUCUUUUCGAUCCGUGGGUUGUGGUGCAUGGCCGUUCUUAGUCUGGGGAGCGAUUUGUCUGGUUAUUCCGUCGAACGGAACUUGGUGCUAAACUAGUUAGCGACCCGGCGGUCGGCGCGACUCCCACUUCUUAGAGGGAAGUGGCGUUUCAAGCCACCGAGAAUUGGGCAAUACAGGGUUGUGAUUGCCCUUAGAUGUCCGGCUGCACGCCGCGCUACACUGACUUGGCUCGCUUUGUGACCUCACCUCCGCCGGCAGAGCGCCGGGAACGUUGAAACCCAUUCGUGAUGGGGUCGGGAUUUUGCAUUAUUCCCAUGACGGGAAUUUCCCAGUAGUGGGUCAUAAGCUUGCGUUGAUUAAGUCCCUGCCCUUUGUACACACCGCCCGUCGCUACUACCGAUUGGAUGGUUUAGUGGGGCCCUCGGAUCGGCCCCGCCGGGGUCGGCCCACGGCCCUGGCGGAGCGCUGAGAAGACGGUCGAACUUGACUAUCUAGAGGAAGUAAAAGUCGUAACAAGGUUUCCGUAGGUGAACCUGCGGAAG